GCUAAAUAGCUAGCUUAAACACCACAUUAAAUUAACAACAUAAAUAAAUUAACAAAACCUAAAAUUACCAAUUAAAUCAUUUUUCCACCUAAGUACGGGAGACGAAAAAG
RNAcentral lists this ribosomal RNA (110 nucleotides) under Cobitis sp. BIWAE type B. RNAcentral's name for it is "partial 16S rRNA". Lineage: Eukaryota; Metazoa; Chordata; Actinopteri; Cypriniformes; Cobitidae. The record is from RNAcentral.